This 740-nucleotide ribosomal RNA is filed under the name uncultured bacterium. RNAcentral describes it as "bacterial SSU rRNA". It matches the Rfam family "Bacterial small subunit ribosomal RNA", at positions 54 to 809 of the family's 1533-position model. The record is from RNAcentral.
CAUGCAGUCGACGAUGAUCCCAGCUUGCUGGGGGAUUAGUGGCGAACGGGUGAGUAACACGUGAGUAACCUGCCCUUAACUCUGGGAUAAGCCUGGGAAACUGGGUCUAAUACCGGAUAUGACUCCUCAUCGCAUGGUGGGGGGUGGAAAGCUUUAUUGUGGUUUUGGAUGGACUCGCGGCCUAUCAGCUUGUUGGUGAGGUAAUGGCUCACCAAGGCGACGACGGGUAGCCGGCCUGAGAGGGUGACCGGCCACACUGGGACUGAGACACGGCCCAGACUCCUACGGGAGGCAGCAGUGGGGAAUAUUGCACAAUGGGCGAAAGCCUGAUGCAGCGACGCCGCGUGAGGGAUGACGGCCUUCGGGUUGUAAACCUCUUUCAGUAGGGAAGAAGCGAAAGUGACGGUACCUGCAGAAGAAGCGCCGGCUAACUACGUGCCAGCAGCCGCGGUAAUACGUAGGGCGCAAGCGUUAUCCGGAAUUAUUGGGCGUAAAGAGCUCGUAGGCGGUUUGUCGCGUCUGCCGUGAAAGUCCGGGGCUCAACUCCGGAUCUGCGGUGGGUACGGGCAGACUAGAGUGAUGUAGGGGAGACUGGAAUUCCUGGUGUAGCGGUGAAAUGCGCAGAUAUCAGGAGGAACACCGAUGGCGAAGGCAGGUCUCUGGGCAUUAACUGACGCUGAGGAGCGAAAGCAUGGGGAGCGAACAGGAUUAGAUACCCUGGUAGAAUCACUAGUGAAUUC